This 215-nucleotide unclassified non-coding RNA is filed under the name Glomeraceae sp. RNAcentral describes it as "partial contains 5.8S ribosomal RNA and internal transcribed spacer 2". The stretch from base 1 to 71 matches the Rfam family "5.8S ribosomal RNA", at positions 84 to 154 of the family's 154-position model. Lineage: Eukaryota; Fungi; Glomeromycota; Glomeromycetes; Glomerales; Glomeraceae. The record is from RNAcentral.
GUGAAUCAUCAAAUUUUUGAACGCAAAUUGCACUCCCUGGUAUUCCGGGGAGUAUGCCCGUUUGAGGGUCGUUAGAAGAAAAAUCGAAGCAUGGCUCUUUUUUUUGAGGGCGAUCGCGUCGGAAUUGAGCCGCAUUUCAAAAGUGAAUUCAUGUCAAAGUGGCUUAAGAUCCAUCCAUCCGGUACGAGUAAAGAGUAUAUAAGAUCAAUUUUGAU